AUUUUCGCUUCGGUGAACGCUAAGCAAAUCGUCUCCCGUUUCGGCUGCUGGUCCAAGAAAAACUUGGCUGGUGGAGCCGAUGUCUUCGCUCCAGCGAGUGUUAGAUCCCAUCCCUUCUUCAAUCUUUUUUCUACCACCGUUACCCUUACCCAAAUUCCAUUUUUACACCACCGCCGUAAAACCCAGAACCCACUUUCUCCUCCUCUCGGCAAGAGCAGCCAGAAGAGAUGUCUGGACCAGAAACAACACAACUCAUAGAACGCCGUCGUAUUUUCCAAAACGACAAAACAAAGAACCGGUGUUUUUGGAUCACAGUGUAGACAUGAACGAGCUGUUGAGCUCCAUUAGCCAAACCCAAAACGAGCAGGAACUUUACUCUUUGCUUUCUCCAUACAAAGAUAGGCAACUUUCUAUCCGGUUCAUGGUUUCUCUUCUUUCUCAUGAAUCCGAUUGGGAGAGAUCUAUCGCUCUUCUUGAUUGGAUUAAUGACGUAGCUCGCUAUUCUCCUUCGGUGUUUGCAUACAACGUGGUUAUGCGUAAUGUGCUUAGGGCCAAGCAGUGGGAACUCGCUUAUGGCCUGUUUGAUGAAAUGCGUCAGAGAGCUCUUGCACCUGAUAGGUAUACUUACUCUAUGCUCAUUACUUUUUUUGGAAAAGCGGGUAUGUUUGAUUCUUCUCUUUUUUGGCUCCAACAAAUGGAGCAAGACCGUGUGUCAGGUGAUCUUGUUUUGUAUAGUAAUUUAAUUGAGCUUUCGCGCAAGUUGCGAGAUUAUUCUAAGGCUAUUUCUAUAUUUAUGAGGCUAAAAAGGAGUGGGAUUAUGCCGGAUUUGGUUGCCUAUAAUUCCAUGAUUAAUGUCUUUGGGAAAGCUAGGUUGUUUAGAGAGGCGAGGAUGCUGCUAAAGGAGAUGAGAGAGGUGGGGGUUAUGCCUGAUACAGUAAGUUAUUCAACGCUUUUAAGUGUUUAUGUUGAACAUGAGAAGUUUGUGGAGGCCUUGUCUGUUUUUGCAGAGAUGAAAGAUGUCAAGUGCCCACUUGACCUCACAACAUGUAAUAUUAUGAUUGAUGUUUAUGGACAGCUUGAUAUGGCCAAGGAAGCAGAUAGGUUGUUUUGGAGCAUGAGGAAGAUGGGGAUAGAGCCAAAUGUUGUUAGUUAUAAUACCCUUUUGAAGGUCUAUGGCGAGGCUGAACUUUUUGGGGAAGCUAUCCAUUUAUUUAGGUUGAUGCAGAGGAAGGAUAUUGAGCAGAAUGUUAUCACAUACAAUACUAUGAUCAAGAUUUAUGGGAAGUCACUUGAGCAUGAAAAGGCCACAAAUCUUGUGCAAGAGAUGCAGAAAAGAGGCAUUGAACCAAAUGCCAUUACAUACUCAACAAUCAUUUCUAUUUGGGGUAAGGCAGGAAAAUUGGAUAGGGCAGCAAUGUUGUUCCAAAAGCUGAGGAGUUCAGGGGUUGAGAUUGAUCAAGUCCUUUAUCAAACCAUGAUUGUAGCUUAUGAGAGGGUAGGCUUGGUUGCUCAUGCCAAGCGUCUGCUUCAUGAGCUCAAAUGCCCUGAUAGUAUCCCUAGGGAGACUGCCAUUAAAAUUCUUGCCAGAGCUGGUAGGAUAGAAGAGGCCACGUGGGUUUUUCGUCAGGCUUUUGAUGAUGGUGAGGUGAAGGACAUAUCUGUAUUUGGAUGCAUGAUUGAUCUUUUCUCAAGAAACAAAAGGCCUGCAAAUGUCAUCGAGGUGUUUGAGAAGAUGAGAGGAUCUGGAUAUUUCCCAGAUUCUGAUGUGAUUGCUCUUGUCCUGAAUGCUUAUGGAAAGUUGAGGGAAUUUGAGAAGGCAGAUUCUUUAUAUAGGGAAAUGCAGGAAGAAGGGUGUGUUUUUCCAGAUGAAGUUCACUUUCAGAUGCUGAGCCUCCAUGGUGCAAGAAAAGAUUUUAUGAUGGUAGAAUCUCUGUUUGAGAAGCUAGAUUCUGAUCCUAACAUUAACAAAAAGGAAUUGCAUCUUGUUGUUGCCAGCAUCUAUGAAAAAGCAAAUAGAUUAAAUGAUGCAUCACGAAUCAUGAACAGGAUGAGUGAAGAAGGGGUUUUGAGAUUACAACCUUUUUAGAAGUUUGAAUCGGCCUAGUGUCUUGUAGCAUCUGCCAACUGUUGUAGAUUGCACCUUCUUGUACUGAUUAUAAUGUAAAUAUCUUAUUUGAAGAUCAUAUCUUUUCAGUUUUCUGAAAAAUGAAAAUGGUAAUGGCAUUGAGUUUUUUCCCUGUUGAUGUAUGAAAUAUCUUUAGUUUUAGGAACUUGUGUACAGUUCUCUUAUCUCCUCUCCUUUAGUUGUUUUCGUUCUAUUCAAGAUGAGAAGCAAGUAGAUACAUGUGUGCUUUGGCAAAUGAGCAAUGGCUUAUUGGGUUUCCCAUUUGGCAUGGAUUUACCAAAUCUAUUUGGUUCAAGGCUUCUUAUUGUCAAAACAAAACCAUGAGUUCUAG
Molecule: unclassified non-coding RNA, 2456 nt
Filed under: Hevea brasiliensis (rubber tree)
Lineage: Eukaryota; Viridiplantae; Streptophyta; Magnoliopsida; Malpighiales; Euphorbiaceae
Source: RNAcentral